RNAcentral lists this transfer RNA (75 nucleotides) under bacterium. RNAcentral's name for it is "tRNA-Gly". It matches the Rfam family "tRNA". Rfam says of the family: Transfer RNA (tRNA) molecules are approximately 80 nucleotides in length. Their secondary structure includes four short double-helical elements and three loops (D, anti-codon, and T loops). Further hydrogen bonds mediate the characteristic L-shaped molecular structure. tRNAs have two regions of fundamental functional importance: the anti-codon, which is responsible for specific mRNA codon recognition, and the 3' end, to which the tRNAs corresponding amino acid is attached (by aminoacyl-tRNA synthetases). tRNAs cope with the degeneracy of the genetic code in two manners: having more than one tRNA (with a specific anti-codon) for a particular amino acid; and 'wobble' base-pairing, i.e. permitting non-standard base-pairing at the 3rd anti-codon position. The record is from RNAcentral. RNAcentral also lists the same sequence under 2 other names.
GCGGGAAUAGCUCAGUGGUAGAGCACAACGUUGCCAACGUUGGGGUCGCGGGUUCAAAUCCCGUUUCCCGCUCCA